This 480-nucleotide ribosomal RNA is filed under the name uncultured bacterium. RNAcentral describes it as "bacterial SSU rRNA". It matches the Rfam family "Bacterial small subunit ribosomal RNA", at positions 49 to 524 of the family's 1533-position model. The record is from RNAcentral.
UAACACAUGCAAGUCGAACGGCAGCACGGGCUUCGGCCUGGUGGCGAGUGGCGAACGGGUGAGUAAUACAUCGGAACGUGCCCUGUAGUGGGGGAUAACUAGUCGAAAGAUUAGCUAAUACCGCAUACGACCUGAGGGUGAAAGCGGGGGACCGCAAGGCCUCGCGCUACGGGAGCGGCCGAUGUCUGAUUAGCUAGUUGGUGGGGUAAGAGCCUACCAAGGCGACGAUCAGUAGCUGGUCUGGGAGGACGAUCAGCCACACUGGGACUGAGACACGGCCCAGACUCCUACGGGAGGCAGCAGUGGGGAAUUUUGGACAAUGGGGGCAACCCUGAUCCAGCAAUGCCGCGUGUGUGAAGAAGGCCUUCGGGUUGUAAAGCACUUUUGUCCGGAAAGAAAUGGCUCUGGUUAAUACCCGGGGUCGAUGACGGUACCGGAAGAAUAAGCACCGGCUAACUACGUGCCAGCAGCCGCGGUAAU